UGAUAUGCAAUUGAAGGUAUAUAAGUAGACAUGCUACCUGCAACACACAUAUCCAUUAACUGGUCAAAAGCUCAGGUUUCUUCAGACUUGGUAAACUACCACAGACUACAAUGAACUACCUUCAGUUGUUGUUACUUCUUGUUCUGGUGGUACUGACCAUUUAUGUGUCGGGUUCGUUCGCGUCCCCCCGGAGAUGGUACAGACGAUGGUCGUCCGAAUCUGACUCCGGAUCCUGGAGCUGGGGCCGUUAAAGGGUGCUGAAAUAAGUGUUGGAUUGAUCUCAGAGGAAAUAAGAUGGUUUCCUUCGUUAUUGUUACCUCUUUAAUAUGUAAUAGCCUGUGUAUGUAUGUGUAGUUAAUAUUUUUAGAACACAGUGUGUGAUGAAGUGUACAAUUGUGUUCUAUGCGUAUGAUAUUUUUCAAAAAUAAGGAAAUUUCUAUAAUUGGUUUGCGAUGUUUUCAAUGUUAUACAAGGUUAGAAAUGAAAAUGUAUGUAAUUCACGUGUUUAUUUUGUUGAUAUAAAUACUUAAGAAAACA
Ostrea edulis (European flat oyster) is the source of this 537-nucleotide long non-coding RNA. RefSeq lists it as uncharacterized. The record is from RefSeq and is a predicted model, not a curated record. Lineage: Eukaryota; Metazoa; Mollusca; Bivalvia; Ostreida; Ostreidae. The transcript has 3 exons.